GACGAACGCUGGCGGCGUGCUUAACACAUGCGAGUCGAACGGAAAGGCCCUGCUUUUGUGGGGUGCUCGAGUGGCGAACGGGUGAGUAACACGUGAGUAACCUGCCCUUGACUUUGGGAUAACUUCAGGAAACUGGGGCUAAUACCGGAUAGGAGCUCCUGCUGCAUGGUGGGGGUUGGAAAGUUUCGGCGGUUGGGGAUGGACUCGCGGCUUAUCAGCUUGUUGGUGGGGUAGUGGCUUACCAAGGCUUUGACGGGUAGCCGGCCUGAGAGGGUGCCCGGCCCCAUGGGGACUGGGAUCCGGCCCAGGCUCCUACGGGGGGCAGGAGGGGGGAAUUUUGCACAAGGGGCGGAAGCCUGAUGCAGCAACGCCGCGUGCGGGAUGGCGGCCUUCGGGUUGUAAACCGCUUUCGCCUGGGACGAAGCGUGAGUGACGGUAAUGGGUAAAGAAGCACCGGCCAACUACGU
This 467-nucleotide ribosomal RNA is filed under the name uncultured bacterium. RNAcentral's name for it is "partial 16S ribosomal RNA". It matches the Rfam family "Bacterial small subunit ribosomal RNA", at positions 28 to 506 of the family's 1533-position model. The record is from RNAcentral.